This 573-nucleotide unclassified non-coding RNA is filed under the name Hevea brasiliensis (rubber tree). Lineage: Eukaryota; Viridiplantae; Streptophyta; Magnoliopsida; Malpighiales; Euphorbiaceae. The record is from RNAcentral.
GAGAUGGUGGCUGUGGGGCUGGGGCCGCUGAGGGUGACGAAGGCGGAAGAGCCAGCGUCGAAGCACGCGUUGACGACCGAGAGGGCGUGGCUGAGCAGAGCUUCUGCUGGGACGCCGAGGGUUGUUAAGCCUCGUGUGAUCGUGUCCAGCUCCGCGGCGGUGGGCACGGACGGGGAUGAGACGGCAAAAGUCAUCGCGUCGAGCGCGUCAGGAGAGGGGGCUUGGUUGAGUGCCAUGGUGGAGAAUGUCUUGAAAUUUCGAGAAGAGUUCCAAACUUAAGCCUCUAGGGUGGGCGGCGAGGACGAGCUCGGGGCGAAGGUUGCACUGGCCCUGGAUGAUUGUGGAGUGGCCCGUGAUGAUGAUGGUGCAGCCGGGUUUAGGCGUGAGACUUACCACAGCAAGGGCAGUGAGUAGUAGAACGGCCGCGGCGAGAUAGUAAUAGGAUGAGUCCCGAGAGGGUAAGCACUGUGAGGAAAGCGAGUGGGAGGGGGUCCCUGGACUUGGAAUGGUUGGGGCUGAAGUAGCUGAUAGAUUUAGUUCCGUCGACGUACCGGCCUCCAUGCGGGAGUGCAU